This 200-nucleotide unclassified non-coding RNA is filed under the name soil metagenome. RNAcentral's name for it is "partial contains internal transcribed spacer 2 and large subunit ribosomal RNA". The record is from RNAcentral.
GCCUGUUCGAGCGUCAUUAAUAUCUCAAGUAUUUGCUUGGUCUUGAUAGUACAUUCGGUAUUGUCGAAAUAUAGCGGCGGCGUAGCUGUGACCUAGCGUAGUGACUUUUCAUCGCUCGGUUUACAGUCGUUCGUUUGCCAGACAACAACCCUUUUCAAUGAUUUGACCUCGGAUCAGGUAGGAUUACCCGCUGAACUUAA